CUCCUAGCAGCUCGUAUGCAUGAAUUCUGUUGUACAGUGAAGGAGGUGAUAUCUGUUGUCAAGGUGUGCGAGGCCACGCUGAGAAAAAGGUGAGAUCAACUCAUACCGUGAUGAGAUUGAGACACAGCUGGCAGUGAGCAGCAGAACCAAACUGAGAGGGAUUCAUGCCUCCUACGCAAGAGAAGAUGAUGACUGUGCGUCUUUGGCCUCUGGGAUGACUGGAGACGAAGACCCAGAGGAUGAGGAAAUGGAGGCAGCAGCUUAACAUCUCAACCAGGAGUUCAUGAAUCAGAUGUUUGAUCAGGGAGACCAGGGAGGAAUGGAGGAUCAGGAUACAGUAGCGCUCUCCAGUCAGGCCACACAUGUGCCUCUGACAGCGCUCCUCGCCUCGGCCCAUUGCCCAGUGCAGCCAGUCUUGGUCUAACAGACUCCAUUCGGAAAAGCAUCACAUAGGAGGACACAACAAACCUUGGAGGAUAUAUCAGAUAAUGGGGAACUGGAUCUAGAUGGGAUUGAUGAAGAGGAAAUUGAAAUGUACGUUUUGAAUGAGAUAGAGGUGGAGGCCAAGACAGAGCUGUGGGUGGAAUAUUUUGAGGGAACAGAAAGAAAAAGAGGAGAGAAUAGCUAAAGAAAAGGAACAAGGGACCCGUAAAGAGAAGCCAAAGAGGCUGUCCAAGAAGCGAGAGCCGAUCCUAGCCAGCACUGCGGGAGAGGCCAUAGAGAAGAUGCUGGAGCAGAAAAAGAUCUCCAGUAAGAUCAAUUAUGAUGUUUUGCGGGACCUCAACAGCAAGAGCAGCGGGAGCAACGCCACCCAGCAAGCCGAGGAUGUGCCUGCCGGUGGCUCUGGGCGCAAAAAGCUGACCCGCCGCAAGAAGCAGCCAAACAAGAGCAAUCUUGGCCUCUCAAAACCUGCAAGCCUCAUGGGCAAGAGGUCACUCCUAGCAUUACCAUGAUGUUGCCUCCUGCAGCCCCAGAGCCCCCUCCAGCCCCCACCCCUCCCCCAGUGUUGGAAAGUGGCCCUGUGGCAUAUGAGGAACCCGCUGAGGAGGAAGAGAAUGAGGAAGAGGCAGAGGAGUCUUGCAUUAGCGCCAUGGAGCUGAUAGGUGGAAAUGACUACGGAUGAGAAGAGGAGGUAUUUUAGACUGCACCCUCGUCUGAUCCCUGAACUUCUACUCAUCCUUCUAUCCACUUCUGUUACUCCCUAUGACAAGGAGAGGAGACUUUAAGGCACAUUUCAAAUACAUAUAAUAUGCUGCAUGUUUACAAAAGGUCAUUCUCCCUCACAAUGCAUUAUAUGACUAGUUAAACUGCAGCAUCUGGAUGACGAAUGAGCUACAAUGGGAGAAGGUGGCUCGCAGCUUUAGAUUGAAGAACUUUAAACCAUUUUAGUACUUUGCUGGUGUUACACUAAAAGUUUAAGAGACAGGAAACUCUAAAGUAGUUUCCUGAGUAUCUCAGAGAUUGCAAACCAUAUCGAAUGCAUUGUGGGACAAUAUAAUAACAGUUUGUUUUACAUGUACCUUUGCUGUAAAACAUUCAUUGUAGGAAGCUGUGUAAAUGAAAAAACGUUGCGUUUUCAUUUUUUAUUUUUAUAUGUCUCUAUGUUAUAUUGGAUAUUAUUAUAUUUCCUAUUUCCAUGAAAAGAUAAAUGUUCCUGUGUUGGAUUAUGAUCAAUAUUAAUGAAUUGUACAGCUAUGUUAUGUUGACCCUCAUUUGUACUGUUUUCAUUAGAUCAUCAAAUGUGGAUUUCAGAGUACACAGUGAAAGCAAAAUAUUUUAAUCUGUAUGUAAAUAAAUUCACAUAUGUUUAGGAUGUUUUAAUUAAGAUUUUAUGUUGCUUAUGCAUUCAUCUUGAAGUUUAAAAGCCCAAAUCCACGUUCAUUGUAGUUAAAUGAAAAAGAAUGA
Long non-coding RNA from Carassius auratus (goldfish), 1905 nucleotides. RefSeq lists it as uncharacterized. The transcript has 9 exons. NCBI's taxonomy places the organism in Eukaryota, Metazoa, Chordata, Actinopteri, Cypriniformes, Cyprinidae. The record is from RefSeq and is a predicted model, not a curated record.